ACGGGAGGCAGCAGUAGGGAAUUUUCGGCAAUGGGCGGAAGCCUGACCGAGCAACGCCGCGUGAACGAAGAAGUAUUUCGGUAUGUAAAGUUCUUUUAUUUGGGACGAAAAGACAGAUUGACGGUACCAAAUGAAUAAGCCCCGGCUAACUAUGUGCCAGCAGCCGCGGUAAUACAUAGGGGGCAAGCGUUAUCCGGAAUUAUUGGGCGUAAAGGGUGCGUAGGUGGCAGUGAAAGUCUUUGGUUAAAAUUCUGGGCUCAACCCAGUCAUGCCAAAGAAACUUCACAGCUAGAGUAUGGUAGAGGUGAGUGGAAUUCCAUGUGUAGCGGUAAAAUGCGUAAAUAUAUGGAGGAACACCAGUGGCGAAGGCGGCUCACUAGACCGAGACUGACACUGAGGCACGAAAGCGUGGGGAGCAAACAGGAUUAGAUACCCUGGUA
Molecule: ribosomal RNA, 440 nt
Filed under: uncultured Acholeplasma sp.
Lineage: Bacteria; Bacillati; Mycoplasmatota; Mollicutes; Acholeplasmatales; Acholeplasmataceae
Description: bacterial SSU rRNA
Rfam family: Bacterial small subunit ribosomal RNA
Source: RNAcentral